AACAUGGUGGCCUAAAAAUGUAAUAAAAUCAAUUUAUAAUUUACUUAACCAUUUAUGUUUAGUUUACAACAAAAUGUGUAAUUUAGGCAACCAAUAAUACACAUAACCUUAAUCUUAAAAGUCUGCAACUUUAAAAUCAUGAAUUUUUAUUUAAAAAACUGGUUUCUGAGCGAUUACGAUAAACAAAACUUCGCGUUUGAAUAUAAACAAAUGACGAAAACGAAACGCAAUAAGUAUUUUUAACCGCAGCAAAUGCAACAAUGUCAAAGAGUCACAUAUUAAUCAAAUCCAAAAACUACUUUAAUGAAAUAAUGACAUUACGCAGAAGUUUACUUACUGAUGCUAUCGAAAGUCAUAAUGAUAUCGCUCUCGUCGAUGGCGUUGCGCUCUUCUCCGCUAAUAUCAAGAUCAGCAGAACGCUCUUCGCGACCAUUUUCUUUCUCCAGCAAGCUGCGAUAGACGUCCAGGAGGAAUUUAGGCGCUGAUUUGGUGAGCUGCUUUUCGCUCAUACGCCGCGGCCGGCUCGGCAGCCCGAGCAAAUGCAGAAUCUCCAGCUCCACUUCACGCUUCUCCUGCAUGGUCAAGACAUGCUCGAGCAUAGUCUGAUCGCGUCCGU
Long non-coding RNA from Dalotia coriaria, 616 nucleotides. RefSeq lists it as uncharacterized. NCBI's taxonomy places the organism in Eukaryota, Metazoa, Arthropoda, Insecta, Coleoptera, Staphylinidae. The transcript has 2 exons. The record is from RefSeq and is a predicted model, not a curated record.